Molecule: long non-coding RNA, 5310 nt
Organism: Strigops habroptila (Kakapo)
Lineage: Eukaryota; Metazoa; Chordata; Aves; Psittaciformes; Psittacidae
Exons: 4
Source: RefSeq, a predicted model, not a curated record
AGCAGCCUUAAAAGAGAAAAUCAGACACUGAAUAUACAUUUUUCUUCUGCGACCAUAGGUAAUUAUAAUAUUUGUUGCCUUUUCCUUGCUCUUGGUUACCCAAGUACAGAACUGAAGUAACUCUUAAGUAUUGUCCCUAUGUAUGUGGUUCAGAAUAUGAACCACAGCAACAGUUGAAGCAAGAAGUGCAUACUACUUGCCCCACUUUGGGGAGGAUAAACUAAGCUUAAAACCAAUUUUUGUGUCCUAGACCCAGUUUCUAGGAACCUUUCUGAAGGUCACCAAAGAAGAUAAGAUUCCAAAAGUUAUGUGAGCAGGAUACAUCUUCAAAAGCUGAGGUGCACUGAUGGGCCAGCUGUAGGAGGUUUGUGCUGCUACUCUCUGAGCACUGUCACACAGAGAUGUUGAAAGCUCCAGUCCAUGAAGAGGCCAAAGGUCCGCACUGCUGUGGGUGCUCCAAGUAAACUACUUCUAUGAAGUGCAAUAUCCUGCUAUUUUCAUGCCAGUUUUGAUACUCGGGCUUUUGUGCCUCUUGGAUGUUGACCAUUCCAGGAAACAGUGUUUUCACCUUGGAACAAACCCCUGUUGCUGCAGCUACAUAAAGAGGUAAGAUUUGGGUAGUGGUGAAUUGCCACAUUCAGAAUGAAGAUGUGAAAAUGCUGAUGUUUCUAUGAUUUGGUAUUGACCUUCCAAGCAAGAAAGAGUGAGUAGACAUGAAAGUACUUUUGAAGCUGUGAAGUGUGGAGAGUAGCAGCAUAGGUUUUUGUAGCAGGAGGCCUAUUUAGCUAGAACACUAGCCAAGUUGAGAAUAACCGGGCUUACACAGCAAAGAAAAGGAUGCUUUGUCAUAAGCAGACCAGCUAGUAGUACAAGAUCCCAGGUACCUUGGCUCAAAGAACAUUUCAGACUGAUGAAGAAACUAAGGCACAGAUACGCAUUUAAGAAUUGUUUUCCUUAUGUUUGUCUGUUAUCUUUCUUACGCAAGCAAAGAAUAGAUGUCUGUCAGCUUAAGUAGUAUCUGUGUACUUUUCAUAUUUUCAUGAAUAACUGCAUUACAAAUCCAAGGUUCCCAAGUGCAGAUACAUCAAUGUGAGACGGUCUCAUUAUUUCAAAGUUGAGUAUGAUCUCCAGCCUGUAAAUCUAAGCAGUCUUGGUAUAACUUUUGUUCACAGAGUCAGGUAUUCUAGAGACCAGGUAUUCUAGAGAUUCAGAGACCCGAAAUGGCUCUAAAUACUCUGGGACAAAAGCAGCAGCAGCUUCUCCCUUGGAGAGGGCAAAAGUAACAUUCAGAAGGCAGUUCUUUAUAUGAUUUUGGAAGGGAUUGAAUGAAUCUAUUUUAGUGAACUCAGUGACUCCAUGUCCCUUCUGAUGCUGCAUUUAAUUCUCUCAACUUGAGAUGCAUGUGGGUGGCCAGAAAUUGCAACCCACUGCUCAAAAUCCAAGCAGUAUUACUGCUUUGUUAAGGUGAUUAGCAUGGAUUUUUGCCUCAAAGAGCUCUCAUCAAGCAUCUCUCUGAGCUCUGUAAGCUUUAAUGCUUAUUAUCUGGUCGCACCUUAGUUCUGGCAGAAGUUAGUGUCUGUACCAAAAAGACAAGGAAACUGUGCUAAAGAGAAAGGAAGUGACCCGCUUAGCAUUGUAGAGGAGAGGGAAAUCCUGCAUAAGUCAGGAGUCUGGUCUCCUUCAUUUCACUCAUAGGCAAUACUUUCUUCAGCACAAAGAUAGCUUCUGGACUUUGGAAUUUGUUCUGAUCCUAACUCCCCCAUUCCCUUCUCCCCAGGGGCUGUAUUAAGGAUAAGAGAGUGAGCUGCACUUUCCCUAGGUGCUGUUAUGUGGUGAGGAAUGAAUGAACAUUGGUCAGCUGACGCCUGGUGCUCAUUGGUAUGCUAGGAGGGAAACCUGGCAUGCUGCAAGCAGCACUUUCUGUACUCUGUAGAGACUGGGAUGGGGAAGGGGUGGAAAAAUGCCUAGAGGACACUAGGACACAGGGAAGAAAGCCCUCCCAGGUUUUAGCUACCUCUGCUGUGGCCCUGCUUGUACUAGAUCAUCCUUCCUACUUUGUUUCCCUGUAGCUCCUUCUCACCAUGUACAAGAUUGGGUGUGUUUCAGAGACUCUGGGAUUCUUACUCUAUUUUCUGUGUACCUACAAGGGUGAAAGGUUUUCAUUUGUUGUAGUUUAAUGUUGAAAAGUCAAUCAGAGAAAAGUGGCAUAGUUUAUUUAAAGCUGCUUGAUGCGACAUAUAGAUCAAAAGAGAAAAUGCUCUGCAUAACGGAUAGUAAAAACGUCACUGCUUUUUCCUAGGAAGUGAUCAAACCUUGCUCUAUUGAAACAGUGGUUAAAGACUGCUGUAGCAUGCCAAUGCUUCAGUUUCUUUUCCAUGUCAUUUUGCUGCACCCCUGACUAAGACAGCAAAGGUAGAUAGCUGAAAGACCUCCUAGAAGAAAGGAUAGCACACAUGGCAGAAUUCCGCAUAAGGUUCCAUCACAUUUGGUUUAAACACUUCAUCUGAGCCUCUUUUAUGUUGGUUUUAUGCUGAUUAUACCCAGAGGCCAUUCAAUAUCAGAUACUUCUAUAUUUUCAGUUUUGAAUACAAUUCAUGAUAUGAAAUUCUUUUACAGUUGCAUGUUUGACAUUGAGCAUGAGCAUAUUAAAAUGAAUGCAGUUUUGUAAACUCACAGAAGUUGAAGGCAUCUUUUUUUUUUUUUGCUUUUAACUCUCCCCUGCUGGAGCUUAUGCCUCAAGCUGUGGGUUGAGAUAAGAACAGCUUAGUUAAAAGAAAGUGUAAUGUAAAAUUAAACCUAAUAAUAAUAAUAAUGAAAAGGGUAAUAACAAAGAGAGAGAUAAAACAAAAAAACCACCCCAACAGUGAUGCACCACUUGCUGACUGACAUACAGGCCAUCCCUGAGCAGCACUCGGUCCCUUCCAGCUAGCUCCCCCCAGUUUAUAUGUACUGAGCAUGAUAUUCUGUGGUAUGGAAUGUCCCUUUGGCUAGUUCAGGUCAGCUGUCCUGGCUGUGGUCCCUCCUGGCUUAUCCUUCUGGAAAGCAAAUUAUCUUGACAUAAACUUUUUGAUUUACUGGAUGUAUUCACUGAGAAUGGCUUGGCAGAAAAAACUUAUUCCAAAAAGUUUGUGCAAAAAAGAGAGCUCCAGAAAGCCUGUUCAGGAUUAUUACUUGUUAUUGGAAGGUCUUCAGGAAAAAAUACCCUAAUUUUCCUCCCAUUCUCUGGCAAUUUAUUCCUCAUUGAUUUGCAUUAAACUAGUAAGGAGAUCCAGUCUUUGGCAGCCAAAAAGGGCUUUGGCAAGCUUUCCAACUGUAGCACCUUUGGCACCUUCCCUCAUUACCCACUUAUGCAGCAUUUGGUAAACUUUUUCUUUUAGUCCAUCUCGCUCAUAGUCAUGAUCAAUUUCAUCAAUCUCAGGAUCACAGAAGCCCAGUUUACGAGCACAGUGCUUCCACUGUUUGGCCAACUUCUCUCUCACUAGAUUCAGAUGUUCAUCAGUCAGGGCACUUUCAUUGUCUGCAAAGAGUAUAAGAAAAUGGCAUUGUUUAAUGUUUCUUCUGCUCCUUUUGCUAUCCCACCUGUUCUUCCCCAACCACUUAUUGUUAAUAUCUGGAGACAGAAUUUUAGUGAUAACAAUCAGAAGUGGAUUUCACUGAAGGCAGUCUUAACCGAUGGUGCCAGGGAAGAAACACUUCAGGACACAUGUGUUCACAGGUCAGUUGCUGGGCUUACUUUUUGAUCUGAGGCUAUCACAGUUUGUCGCUUAAACCUAUGAGAUUGAAAAGCUCCUUCCUAGAGUUCUGACACAGCUGACUGUUGUCUGUAUGAUAUGUUUUAUAUUCUGGGACACUAGUCAUUUGUUUACUUAGGAAUACACAGGGAUAGUUUAAUUUGGUAUGGACCAACAAAAAUCAACUGAAAUUCAGAAUCUUCCAAUUUCUACUGGAAUGAAGUGAUUGCACGCCCAAACCUGUCAGUGGUCAAGAAGCGUUUGGGCAAUGCUCUUAGAUAUCUGGUUUAACUUUUAGGUUUCUCUGUGUGGUUUCAGACAUUGGGCUUGGUGACUUCCAUGGGUCCCUUCCAACUCAGGAUAUUCUAUGACCUGAACAUAGUCAGGGUGAAAGCUCCCCGUCUACGAUCUGCGUCUGACAGCUCCUUUCCUCAAAUUGACUGGCCAAAAGAUUGGUUGCUACAUUUUAAGAAAUAAGCUACAUUCAAUUACAUUCAGCUAUCUGGUAAAGAAUUAUCCCAUCUCUGCUAAAGAUGAAAUUACUGAAAUAAUCUGCAAAUAUGGUAAAUAUCAGUAUUUUGCAUAUGAGAAAAUUAGAAUCUAAGACCCAGUGCAAGCAUAAACUCAAUCCAUUAGCAGUAGAUUAUGCAGGUUAAAUAUGGAAAUAGUAGAUGGCUUCCUCCUGUUAUACAAAUUUCCUCUGAGUAUUUAAGUACAUGCCUGUUGUAUACGAAGCUCUUGACACUCCUGGCUAAAUCCAAACCUCAGUUUCCUGUUAUGCGUAGAGGCUUUUGUUUUAUAGGAUGUUUUAUUUGAGUUGGUUUUUUUGGUGGUUUUUUGGCACCACAUAUUGAGACAGAAAGUAGAGGCAAGAGGAGUUAAAGAAUUUUGACUUAUUUGCUGAAUGCUCUUAAGUCUCCUUCCCAGCCCCCUCAGGCAAGACUUUUACUGACUAUAAGCAUUUUGGGAUCUGACUGUAAGAAAGGCUGAUUAGCUAGUCAAAGGCUAUUGUAUUGCUCAUGGAAGGCUAAACCAGACAGAUUUUGAAGCUAGUUUCAAUAGGGUAUUUUCUCAGUCAUAGCCAAGAUAUAUUAUAUCCCCUGAUGUCAGCUUUUCUGUAAAUUUCAGCAGGAAGAUUAUACUAUGCUAAAGACAAAUUAUCAGCAAGUAUAAAACGUCUUAGCUCCAUUCACUUACGAGUAUUUCUCAAAUCUGUAAAUGUUGGACCGGAUCCCAUUUUUAGUUGGGGUACAGGGAGCAUGCUUUACUGGGCAUGUGAAUUGAUAUUUCUAUUUUCAAAGCAAAAACUUGUAUUUUAAGAGGAAAACACUCAAGUUUGUUUUACUGCAUUACAAACUAUUGAUGGACAAGUAACAAAAAGAAACCUAAAGCAGUGCCUUACCUGCAAAGGUUGGCCGUUUCUCUGACUCUUGCAUCCAGCAUUGUUUCAUUAAGUCAGUAAUCUCCACUGGACAUUCACCAGGGAUCUCCUCUAUGUCUGGCCUGUUUCCACACGUGAUGGCAAACCAAAUCUGAGAAUAAUUUAUACUAUCUGAAAAAUAAAAUCAGAUUCCGAUCA